UGGGGAAUAUUGGACAAUGGGCGCAAGCCUGAUCCAGCAAUACCGCGUGUAUGAAGAAGGCCUUAGGGUUGUAAAGUACUUUCAAUUGUGAAGAAAGGGUGUGAGCUAAUACCUCAUGCCUCUGACGUUAACUUUAGAAGAAGCACCGGCUAACUCCGUGCCAGCAGCCGCGGUAAUACGGAGGGUGCGAGCGUUAAUCGGAAUUACUGGGCGUAAAGCGUGCGUAGGCGGUUAUCUAAGUCAGAUGUGAAAGCCCUGGGCUCAACCUGGGAACUGCAUUUGAAACUGGGUAACUAGAGUUUGGUAGAGGUGAGUAGAAUUCCUAGUGUAGCGGUGAAAUGCGUAGAGAUCGGGAGGAAGGCCGGUGGCGAAGGCGGCGCUCUGGAACGUUUCUGACGCUGAGGCUCGAAAGCGUGGGGAGCAAACAGGAUUAGAUACCCUGGUAGUCCACGCCUUAAACUAUGAAUACUAAGUGUCGGCGGUUUACCGCCGGUGCCGCAGCUAACGCAUUAAGUAUUCCGCCUGGGAAGUACGGCCGCAAGGUUG
RNAcentral lists this ribosomal RNA (546 nucleotides) under uncultured bacterium. Its description in RNAcentral is "bacterial SSU rRNA". It matches the Rfam family "Bacterial small subunit ribosomal RNA", at positions 355 to 896 of the family's 1533-position model. The record is from RNAcentral.